UGGGGAAUUUUGGACAAUGGGCGAAAGCCUGAUCCAGCAAUGCCGCGUGUGUGAAGAAGGCCUUCGGGUUGUAAAGCACUUUUGUCCGGAAAGAAAUCCUUGGCUCUAAUACAGUCGGGGGAUGACGGUACCGGAAGAAUAAGCACCGGCUAACUACGUGCCAGCAGCCGCGGUAAUACGUAGGGUGCAAGCGUUAAUCGGAAUUACUGGGCGUAAAGCGUGCGCAGGCGGUUUGCUAAGGCCGAUGUGAAAUCCCCGGGCUCAACCUGGGAACUGCAUUGGUGACUGGCAGGCUAGAGUAUGGCAGAGGGGGGUAGAAUUCCACGUGUAGCAGUGAAAUGCGUAGAGAUGUGGAGGAAUACCGAUGGCGAAGGCAGCCCCCUGGGCCAAUACUGACGCUCAUGCACGGAAGCGUGGGGAGCAAACAGGAUUAGAUACCCUGGUAGUCCACGCCCUAAACGAUGUCAACUAGUUGUUGGGGAUUCAUUUCCUUAGUAACGUAGCUAACGCGUGAAGUUGACCGCCUGGGGAGUACGGUCGCAAGAUUAAAACUCAAAUGAAUUGACGGGGUCAUAGCUGUUUCCU
Molecule: ribosomal RNA, 585 nt
Filed under: uncultured bacterium
Lineage: Bacteria
Description: partial 16S ribosomal RNA
Rfam family: Bacterial small subunit ribosomal RNA
Source: RNAcentral